Triticum urartu is the source of this 3773-nucleotide non-coding RNA. The record is from RefSeq and is a predicted model, not a curated record. NCBI's taxonomy places the organism in Eukaryota, Viridiplantae, Streptophyta, Magnoliopsida, Poales, Poaceae.
CAUAAGGAUACACUGUUUGUCUAUGUCAACAGUUCGUUUUCUCCAAGCCCAGAUGAGCUGAUAAUUGACUUGUAUAAUAAUUUUGCAAUAGACGGGAAGCUUGUGGUAAACUAUGCUUUAUCGGCAGCGUGGGGUUAAAAGUUUGGAUUAGCAGGAAGAACCGAAGAAUCGAAUGGAUUGAAAAGGUCGUUUGAAAUUUGACCGUUUUACUGUGUAUAGCUGGAGUUGUAGUUGGUCAGUCAAAGAGGCACUAGCUCUCACAUAUGUUGAUGAUGAAAGUAAAGGUUCUUGCGAGACUGCCUUUUCUGGCAUUGAACUCUCCAAGUGCUCGUACGAAAGAAUCGUCAAAUGUUUAUAAUUUGUUUACUAAGGAGUAGGUUAGUUCUGAAAAAAUGUUUAGGAAAAAUCUGACGGUUGUGGUGUACUAACCAAAAGAAGGUCUAUCAAGUAUACCGUUUUGAUCUUUUUAUAGUGUAUCUCAUUCUUUUUGUGGUAUUGGGUUUUUAAUAUGUACUUUCUCUGCUCCAAAUUAAUUAAAGUUCUAGGUUUGUGCUAAUUUACAAAGUACAUUAACAUCUACAACACCAAAUUACUUGCAUUUGGUGUUUUUAAAAAUAUAUUUCCAUUUCAUAUAUAAUUGAUGUUGUAGAUCUUAGUUCAUUUUUUUAAGACUUGGUCAAACUUUAAAAAGAUUGAUUUAGAGCACCUGCAAAACUUCAAUUAAUUUGAAACAAAAGGAGAAAUAGGUAUACACUUGACAAAAGAUAGAUAUGCAUCUUGUAGAUCUUGGGGUAAAGGCAGAUGUCACACACUCACAUGCCUCUCUACUUAUUCAAAUGUUUCGACAGCUUGAUUUCCGCAUAAUUAAUUUCUCGUGAAACGUUUAACUUUCUAUUCACCUCCGUGGUUGCGUGUUACAUAUGCAAGGAUGAACUUGACAACUGUGCAAAAAGGAAAUAAACUUUAAAACAUCAAGAAAAUAACAAAUUCAUGAGGAAAAGGGGCAAGCCCAACGAUGUAUGCAGCCCCGUGCAAAAAAGAAUAGAUAACACAAGAACUCAAAAGGAAAAAUCUACAUGAAUCUUUGCACAAAUUCAAACAGUUAUAUUAACAAGUCCAUAUUACCAGUAGACAGGAGAAAAACCAUGUACUAGCAUCCAUGUCGCAGAUCUUGGGUCGCGGCCGGACAAAUUUGACCGGAUGCGGACGCCAAUAGGGUGUGUGUGUCACUCUCUCCCUCUCUGUAAAAAAUGUUGGGUGGCACACAUUCACACGUCUCUGCUUAUUAUUAUUGAAAUGUUGCGUCAGCAGGAUUCCCGCAUAAUUAACUUUCUCGUGAAGCGUUUAAACAAAUUACACUACUGCUACUAUCGAUGCCCGAUCUGGAUCUAACCAGCUGAGUUCAAAGAAAAUAUCUACUAUCAGCUCCGUGGAGGUGCCCGUCCCUAUAUCACACCCCCAUCACCCUGUUGGUGAACUCACUCCAGCAACCACAUCCCUUCUCCUGCCCCGGACUCCUGCAGCACCUGAAGCUCGCCUUCGCCACGCAUCUGCGCUUCUGCAGGGUACUACAUGAAGUGACCUAGAACACAUGGAAGGGGAUAAGUUCCAGGAAGAGAUCAAAUGCCUCAUUGAGGUGAAGCGCAAAAACAUCACACGGUUUCUAGGAUAUUGUGCCGACACACAAGGGAGAGUGGUAGACUUUGAGGGAAGCUUUGUAAUGGCAGAUGUACGACGACAGUUCCUCUGUUUUAAGUAUCGACACAAAGAUACGUACAGUGGAGUUGAAUGGAGAGAGCACUAUCAAAUAAUCAAAGGAAAUUGCAAGGGUUUAUGGUACCUUCACCGUAAUCAUAUUGUUCAUUUGGACCUAAAACCUGAUAAUAUAUUGUUGGAUGAUAAUAUGGUACCGAAAAUAGCUGACUUUGGUCUCUCAAAGUACUUUCGUGCCGGAUUAUCAUUUCAAAAUUUGGAUGAACAUCGGGUUAUUUGGCACCAGAAUUCUACGGUGGAAAACUCACAUUCAAGUCAGACAUAUACAGUUUGGGUGUUAUAAUCAUAGAGAUAUUAAUAUGUCAUAUGAAAUAUACCAAAGACUGCUCUGCUUUGAGUAUAUACCUAAAGGGUAUCUUUAUGAUUAUAUCACCGGUCACAUUCAAGUCAGACAUAUAAAGUUUGGGUGUUAUAAUCAUAGAGAUACUAACAUGACAUAUGGGAUAUACCAAAGAUUGCUCUGCUUUGAGUAUGUACCUAAAGGGAGUCUUCAUGAUUAUAUCACCGAUGCAUCUCGUGGACUUGAAUGGGGCAAGAGGUAUCUAAUUGUUAAAGGAAUUUGUGAGGGCUUAUAUUACCUUGAAGAAGAAAGUAUUAUUCACUUAGAUCUGAAACCAGCCAAUAUAUCGAUGGACAACAAUAUGUUGCCCAAAAUUACCGACUUUGGUCUCCCAAGAUGUAAGAUGUUAUGAUGAAAAUCAAAAUUGGAUCAAUUAAGCCGAUUAAGUGUCUCAAAGCUCAUUAAUGGUGGCUUUGCAGUGGUUUAUAAGCUGCAGGGAAUUCUUUAAAAUGGGGCAAUCGCUGUGAAGAAGCUUUCCAACACGUCUUAUAUUCAUGAUAGCGAAUUCUAGUGAGAGGUUGAAUGUUUGAUGAAGGCCAAGCACAAAAAGUACGGUUUAUGAGUUAUUUGGCUAUGCACAUGGGGAAAUGGCUUCCUACGAGGGAAAAAUUUCCAUGGCAGGUGUACAACAGAGGUUGCUCUGCUUUGAGUAUCUACCGAAAGGAAGUCUUUGUGACUAUAUGACCGAAUGCUUAUGGAUAUGAAUGGAGAGAGUGCUAUGACAUAAUCGAAGGAAUUUGUGAGGGUUUAAGUUAUCUCCACAAGAACCAUAUUGUUCACUUCAACUUAAAACCGACAAAUAUACUUUAUGGAAUAUACUAUGGUUCCUAAAAUAACUGACUUUGGUAUCUCAAGAUGUUUUGAUGAAACAAGGACUUGUUAUUACUUCAAAAGUGAUGGGAUUAGUGGAAUAUUUUUUUCUAGAAGUUCUUUUCAGUGGAAUAAUCACGUUCAAACCAGACAUAUACAAUCUUAGUCUAUAUAUCAAUAGUUAUGGAGAUAUUGAUUAUGAUGAAGAGGUAUUUUGAAGUUGAUUAUGUACUCAAAAUUUGGAGGAAUUGAUUGGACAGAUCACUGGGAGGAAGACAACUGGAACGAGUGAUGGAGUGCAUUGACACCGAGCUAGCGAGGAAACCAAGUCCUUAGCAUAUGAGCAAGCACCUCAGCCGCCGGAGGGGUCGAUGCUCGUCAACGUGGAUGCAGCAAUCUUCUCCCAAUCUGCAAGAGCGGGCUUUGGUCCGGUGAUACAUAAUCACCGGGGAAGGGUGCACAGGCGGUGAACAGAGGCUACUUUGAAUGAGUUCAAAUUCCUGAAGGAGCAGAAGCCAUGGCACUUCGUCAAGUCUUAAUCCUUGCCAGUAACACUGGUAUUAGGAAGAUCAUGGUAGGUUAACAAGAUCAAGAGUUUAGGUUUUGAUAGGUCCCCUACUGGAGCCAUAGUCCAUGAUAUGAAAAAAUGUGCCACAAAGUUUGUAUCUUGUACUUUUAUCCAUGUCAAUCGUUCUUGUAGUGAGGCAGCACAUGUUCUGGCUAAAUCGGCAGAGCAUGAUGUUUCGUCCUGUUGGCUUAAUGGUUUCCCUGAUGUAAUCAGGACCAUUAUCUGUAAUGAAUCAGUUAUGAAUGAAUAAGAGGGUGCAGCUGCCCAUUACCUCAAAAUAAA